GUAUUAUGUGAAACUAGAAGAGUUUAGUAAUUUCUCUGAGAAAAAUGGAAGGUGCCCUACUUGCCUUUACAUUACAAUAUGAUGGAAGCACUGCCAUCUUUUUUAUGGCAUCUAACAAUGUUUUACU
Small nuclear RNA from Gracilinanus agilis (Agile Gracile Mouse Opossum), 127 nucleotides. Lineage: Eukaryota; Metazoa; Chordata; Mammalia; Didelphimorphia; Didelphidae. The record is from RefSeq and is a predicted model, not a curated record.